GCCUUUAUAGCUCAGAUGGUAGAGCGCGUCCUUGGUAAGGACGAGGUCAGCGGUCCGAUUCCGCUUGAAGGCU
RNAcentral lists this transfer RNA (73 nucleotides) under Spirochaetaceae bacterium. RNAcentral's name for it is "tRNA-Thr". It matches the Rfam family "tRNA". Rfam says of the family: Transfer RNA (tRNA) molecules are approximately 80 nucleotides in length. Their secondary structure includes four short double-helical elements and three loops (D, anti-codon, and T loops). Lineage: Bacteria; Pseudomonadati; Spirochaetota; Spirochaetia; Spirochaetales; Spirochaetaceae. The record is from RNAcentral. RNAcentral also lists the same sequence under 3 other names.